CUUGAAAGUUUAUUUAAUGUUGUUUGUCAAUGUUUCCUUGUUUUAAUGCUACGAAUGGAAAGACCCGAAUUAACAGACAAAGAAGAUAUUUGUAUAUACUCAGGAGUAUAUACUUACGCAUAUAAAAUUAUAAUGCUUGUCAAGCCUUUCAUUGAAUGCUACUCUUCAUUUUUGUUAUCUCAAAUUUCAGAAAGGAAGCUUAUCAAUUAGUCAAAGGAAUGUCACUGUGCUGCUUUUAUGGAAUGUCGUCAUAUCAAUUUACCUUCUUUGUCUAAUUUUUUAUGUGGUUAUUUUACUGUAACCACUCAAAAAAUUAUCUCACAAUUUUAUUCAACUUCUACUAAAAUCGGAUGAUAAAUAUUUUAUUUUUAACACUCUUCGGAUUUUUGUGACGAUUCUGUUUUUAAUUUUACUUAGACUUUCAAUGUGUUGUUGUUUUUCUUUAUAUUACCAUAAAUACAACUUACGUUCUAAAGGUUGCCAACUAUCUUACUUUUUUUGUAAAAAUUAUUAAAUAAACAAAUAAAAUUAUUUUCUAUUUUCCA
Long non-coding RNA from Ceratitis capitata (Mediterranean fruit fly), 545 nucleotides. RefSeq lists it as uncharacterized. The transcript is spliced from 2 exons. The record is from RefSeq and is a predicted model, not a curated record. Lineage: Eukaryota; Metazoa; Arthropoda; Insecta; Diptera; Tephritidae.